Molecule: non-coding RNA, 2206 nt
Organism: Microcebus murinus (gray mouse lemur)
Lineage: Eukaryota; Metazoa; Chordata; Mammalia; Primates; Cheirogaleidae
Source: RefSeq, a predicted model, not a curated record
AUGCCUGAGGAAACUCGGACCCAAGACCAACCCAUAGAGGAGGAAGAGGUUAAGACAUUAGCCUUUCAGGCAAAAAUUGGCUAGCUGAUGUCACUGAUCAUCAAUACUUUCUACUCAAAGAGAUUUUUCUGAGAGAGCUCAUUUCAAAUUCAUUAGAUGCUUUGGACAAAAUCAGACACAAAAGCUUGACAGAUCCCAGUAAACUAGACUCUGGGAAAGAGCUGCACAUUAAUCUUGUACGAAACAAACAAGAUCUAACCGUUACUAUUGUGGAUACUGGGACUGGAAUGACCAAGGCCAACUUGAUCAAUAACCUUGGUACUAUCGCCAAGUCUGGAACCAAAGUGUUCAUGGAAGCUUUGCAGGCUGGUACAGACAUAUCUAUGAUUGGCCAGUUUGGCAUUGGUUUUUAUUCUGUGUAUUUGGUUGCCGAGAAAGUAACUGUGAUCACCAAACAUAACGAUGAUGAGCAGCAUGCCUGGGAGUCCUCAGAAGCAGGAUUAUUUACAGUUAGAAGUGACACAGGUGAACCUAUGGGUUGUGGAACAAAAGUUAUCCUCCAUUCGAAAGAAGACCAAACUGAGUAUUUGGAGGAAAGAAGAAUAAAGGAGAUUGUGAAGAAACAUUCUCAGUUUAUUGGUUAUCCCAUUACUCUGUUUGUGGAGAAGGCACGUGAGAAAGAAGUCAGUGAUGAUCAGACUGAAGAAAAGGAAGACAAGGAGGAGGAGAAAGAAAAAGAAGAAAAGGAAUCUGGAAUCUGAUGACAAGCUCGAAAUAGAAGAUGUUGGUUCCAAUGAAGAAAAAGAAGAAAAGAAAAAUGGUGAGAAGAAGAAGAAGAUAAAUGAAAAGUACAUUGAUCAAGAAAAGCUCAACAAAACAAAGCCUAUGUGGACCAGAAAUCCUGAUGAUAUUACUAAUGAAGAGUAUAGAGAAUUCUAUAAGAGGUUGAUCAACGACUGGGAAGAUCAUUUGGUGGUGAAGCACUUUUCCAUUGAAGGACAGUUGGAAUUCAGAGUUCUUCUUUUUGUCCCAAGACGUGCUCCUUUCAACCUAUUCGAAAACAGAAAAAAAAAAAACAACAACACUAAGUUGUAUGUACGCAGAGUUUGCAUCAUGGAUAACUGUGAGGAGCUAAUCCCUGAAUACUUGAAUUUCAUUAGAGGAGUGGUGGACUCUGAGCAUCUCCCUCUAAAUAUUUCCCGUGAGAUGUUGCAGCAAAGCAAAAUUUUGAAAGUUAUCAGAAAAAAUUUGGUUAAAAAGUGCUUAGAGCUCUUCAACGAAUUGGCAGAAGAUAAAGAGAACUACGAAAAGUUUUAUGGGCUAUUCUCUAAAAACAUAAAGCUUGGAAUACAUGAAGACUCUCAAAACCAGAAGAGGCUUUCAGAGCUAUUACGAUACUACACAUCUGCUUCUGGUGAUGAGAUGGUUUGUCUCAAGGACUACUGCACCAGAAUGAAGGAAAACCAGGAAAAGAAGAAACAUAUCUGCUGUAUCAGGUGAGACCAAGGACCAGGUAGCUAACUCAGCCUUCAUGGAACAUCUUUGGAAGCAUGGCUUAGGAGUGAUCUAUAUGACUGAGCCAAUUGAUGAGUACUGUGUCCAACAGCUGAAGGAAUUUGAGGGGAAAACUUCAGUGUCAGUCACCAAAGAAGGAUUAGAACUUCCAGAAGAUGAAGAAGAGAAAAAGAAACAGGAAGAUAAAAAACAAAGGUCAAAAACAUCUGCAAAAUCAUGAAAGACAUCUUAGAGAAAAAUGUUGAAAAGGUAAUUGUGUCAAACCUAUUGGUGACAUCUGCAUGCUGCACUGUCACAAGCACAUAUGUCUGGACAGCACACAUGGAAAGAAUUAUGAAAGCUCAAGCCCUAAGAGACAACUCGACAAUGGGUUACAUGGCAGGGAAGAAACACCUGGAAAUAAACCCUGACCAUUCCAUUAUCCAGACCUUAAGGCAGAAGGCAGAGGCUGACAAGAAUGACAAGUCUGUGAAGGAUCUGUCAUCUUGCUUUAUGAAACUGCACUCCUGUCUUCUGGCUUCAGUCUGGAAGAUCUUUAGACACAUGCUAACAGGAUCUAUGGAUGACCCAACUUGAUCUGGGUCUUGAUGAGGAUGACUCUACUGCUGAAGAUUCCAGUGCUGCUGUGACAGAGGAGAUGGCACCUCUUGAAUGAGAUGGUGACACGUCAUGCAUGGAGGAAGCAGACUAA